AACGAACGCUGGCGGCAGGCCUAACACAUGCAAGUCGAACGCUCCAGCAAUGGAGAGUGGCAGACGGGUGAGUAACGCGUGGGAACCUUCCCUAUGGUUCGGAAUAGCUCAGGGAAACUUGAGGUAAUACCGGAUAAGCCCUUCGGGGAAAGGAUUAUCGCCAUUGGAUGGGCCCGCGUAGGAUUAGCUAGUUGGUGAGGUAACGGCUCACCAAGGCGACGAUCCUUAGCUGGUCUGAGAGGAUGAUCAGCCACACUGGGACUGAGACACGGCCCAGACUCCUACGGGAGGCAGCAGUGGGGAAUAUUGGACAAUGGGGGCGAACCCUGAUCCAGCAAUGCCGCGUGAGUGAUGAAGGCCUUC
This 363-nucleotide ribosomal RNA is filed under the name uncultured bacterium. RNAcentral's name for it is "bacterial SSU rRNA". It matches the Rfam family "Bacterial small subunit ribosomal RNA", at positions 29 to 419 of the family's 1533-position model. The record is from RNAcentral.